AGAGUAUGCGCAUACCAGCUUCAUGGUGGGGGAGAUUUCAGCAUUCGAGGCACAUGCUCCCCCGUCUUGGGCCUCACUGCUUUAUCUCUCGCUGGAGCCUGCGUGCUGUCAGCUCUGCUCGGCUGCGCUGCCGUCGGCCCAGAGCACCCACGUGUGAUAAUUGCAGCAGCAGCAGCUGAGGGGGCUUGCGGGGAAAGCAAAGCAAGCGUCUGAUUGCCGGUCCCAGUUUGAGGGGGCUGCAUUAGGAGAUACCUCUGGUUUGGCAGUGGCUUGAGUAGUCCUGGCAAAUAACUCCUCCUGCCUCAACACCGUCUUUUCUCCUCUUUGCUGCACGUUCCCACUGACUUGGAGAGGUCGUCUCUGGACCUUGAUGCUUUUGCUGCUGGCGUGAAUCGGCUUCCACUCACUGCCUCCAUCCUAAGAAAGUAUUCCUGCAGAAAGUACUUCGUGUGAGAUGCAACAUCCUUACCAGGGACAAGUGAAGUGCCAGCCAGCAAACAGAAGCAAGUCUGUCCUUCAAGCGCGACACCGCUUCCAAGACAUACUUGAAAACAUGUAUUAUUUUUUUUUCCCUUCAAUGGAAGUCUAUUUAAUCCUCCAGCUGGUAAACAACCCAAUCUGUGGCGCACAGCAAGCUCUGGAACGAAACCUCCCUAUCGCUGAAGCUCAGUUUUGUGCCACUGGAAGGAGAAACUCAACAGCUUCACGUGGGCCACCAGGGAUGGGGCCAGCGGCUCCACAGCAUGAAAUACCCGCAGCACAGGCAACGUGCCACGCUCCAAAGGCUGGAGCAAGCAGAGCUGUUAGCGGCACUCAGAGGAAGGGGCCGGCUCGCCAUUAGCUGCUAAGCCACGUUGGACUGUGGCAAGGUUCAACAUUGCAGGAAGGGAAGGUGCUCUGUCUUUUAUGCUGGGGGGCACGUGUGUAUUUAUAUAACAAAUACGAUGUUGUACACACACACAUAUGUAGAUAUACAUAAACUAAAUGGCUAUUAAGUUUUACAAUCAUAUACAAAUAUAAUCACUCAACAUAUAAUAAGUAUAAUCAUAAAUGCUGUUUAAUUAUUCUUGUAAUACAUAGUUUAUACACAUAUACAUAUUACAUAUGC
This is a long non-coding RNA of Aquila chrysaetos chrysaetos, 1108 nucleotides long. RefSeq lists it as uncharacterized. The record is from RefSeq and is a predicted model, not a curated record. Lineage: Eukaryota; Metazoa; Chordata; Aves; Accipitriformes; Accipitridae. The transcript has 3 exons.